GACGAACCGUGCGAACGUUGUUCGGAAUCACUGGGCUUAAAGGGCGCGUAGGCGGCUCAUCAAGUCCGGGGUGAAAGCCCCCAGCUUAACUGGGGAAGUGCCUCGGAUACUGGUGAACUGGAGGGAGGUAGGGGCGGAUGGAACUUCCGGUGGAGCGGUGAAAUGCGUUGAUAUUGGAAGGAACGCCGGUGGCGAAAGCGACCUGCUGGACCUCUUCUGACGCUGAUGCGCGAAAGCUAGGGGAGCGAACGGG
RNAcentral lists this ribosomal RNA (253 nucleotides) under uncultured bacterium. RNAcentral's name for it is "partial 16S ribosomal RNA". It matches the Rfam family "Bacterial small subunit ribosomal RNA", at positions 524 to 776 of the family's 1533-position model. The record is from RNAcentral.